AUUGAACGCUGGCGGCAGGCUUAACACAUGCAAGUCGAGCGGAGUGAUGGUGCUUGCACUAUCACUUAGCGGCGGACGGGUGAGUAAUGCUUAGGAAUCUGCCUAUUAGUGGGGGACAACAUCUCGAAAGGGAUGCUAAUACCGCAUACGUCCUACGGGAGAAAGCAGGGGAUCACUUGUGACCUUGCGCUAAUAGAUGAGCCUAAGUCGGAUUAGCUAGUUGGUGGGGUAAAGGCCUACCAAGGCGACGAUCUGUAGCGGGUCUGAGAGGAUGAUCCGCCACACUGGGACUGAGACACGGCCCAGACUACUACGGGAGGCAGCAGUGGGGAAUAUUGGACAAUGGGGGGAACCCUGAUCCAGCCAUGCCGCGUGUGUGAAGAAGGCCUUAUGGUUGUAAAGCACUUUAAGCGAGGAGGAGGCUCUUUUGGUUAAUACCCAAGAUGAGUGGACGUUACUCGCAGAAUAAGCACCGGCUAACUCUGUGCCAGCCGCCGCCGCAG
This 503-nucleotide ribosomal RNA is filed under the name uncultured bacterium. RNAcentral's name for it is "partial 16S ribosomal RNA". It matches the Rfam family "Bacterial small subunit ribosomal RNA", at positions 30 to 523 of the family's 1533-position model. The record is from RNAcentral.